CGGGCGGACCAGCUCCGGCUUCCACCGACUCCGGCAUUCCGUUGAAACCCGGCAGCGGCGGCUUCUAAGAUUUCACUCCGCGCUGGGCUGGGGGGAGGGGGUGAUUUCUCCGGGAGGGGGUGUCUCAGAUCGAAAGAGCCACUUCAUGCUCCUUCCUCUCCUCCGAAGUGAGUUUUUAGACUCUCCGGAGGCCUUGGGGAAACACGGGCAGCCGCGCGCAAAGAAAGCCCCCCUUCCUCCCAACACACACACACACACAAAUGCCGCCUUGACUAGUGUCUGACCCGAUUUCCAGGGUCACGGCCCAGCAGCAGAGCGCCCGGGCAGCCUCCGAAAUACCACCAAGCGGUGGGUUGUGGCACCCAGCAGAGCUGGGGUGGAGGUAUCGCGCUAAAAAAUAGUAGCUCAGACUUCCACGCUCUUUUCUAAGUACUUGACAAGCCCUCCAACUUUACAGAUCAAGAAACUGAGGCAUAGACAAAGGUCAGUUAAGUAUCGCGCUCAGAGUCACCCAGCUAAUUAAAUGACCUAGUGGGAAUCUGAACGCAGGUUUUCCAGAGCCUAGGGUGGCUAACCAUUAUGCUAUAGCGCUCACCUUGGAAUCACAGAGCCACCCACAAUACGAAACUUAGUGUUCGCUUGAUGGCUACAUAUUUUGUACGUUACAUUGUGGCUGGCACAGAGGCACUCGAAAAAUAUUAGUGGAAGGAAUGGGUGUCUGAAUAAGUGAUUGACAGAAUCAUGGAUGGCAAGUGAGUUUAGAGAAAACAGCGCCAACCAUUGUUCCUUCUAAGAGGAUUGUCUUACCUUAAUAAAACCUCUAGCUGUUUUUUGAAUGUUUGCAGGUAACAGGAAACUCUUAUUCAAAAAUAUAUGAACUUCCCACCCCUGCUCCUCAGCCAAUCAGCCUGGCAGCAUUUGAACUUGCUGGGGCACAUACCCAAAGCAGCUUUUACUUGGUCUCAGCCAUUUUUUCCCCACCCUGUUCCUUCUCUGUAGGCUUCCGCUCAGGGUCAGGCAGCCUGGAACUGCAUUUGAAGUGAUUCUGAACAUAUAGCAAGAAAGGAGUGUAUACCCACCAAACAUGGCUCACUGGCUUCCCUUCCACAGGCGGGUGCUGGUGGGGUGAGGGGAGCGUGGCUUGCAGCUCAGUGCUUAUUUUUUAAUUCUCGGACCACAUAAGGAGCACCACCAUCCGUGCAGCUUGCUUCAAAGUCACAGCCCCUCACCAGCUGUGAGGUCACACCUCUCGGAAGGCAGUAGUCUACCUUAACCAACAGCUCUGAGAUGCUCAUCAGUGGGACCACAUCUGCAAUUUGGAGAGCUGCCACUGGUGUUCUGUGCUGUCCUGCUCCUUCCGGUGGCCCAAGAGAGGAUAUGAUUUUUAAAAAGUUGUUCUAUUUAGAUAAUCCAGUACAAUGUACUUUUAUGCUACGUUGUUAUCUUCCUCCCCUCCUUUUCUAGACCUAACCAGUUGUCUCUUCUAGGUCGCUAGUUGGGCAACCUGAAAUGAGGACAAGUUUCACUUCAAGUUACCUGAAAGUGAACUUUCGCCUUUCCAAUUUGAUUCCUCCAACAUCUGUUGAAUGGCUCUCGGUCCUGGUCUGGAGGGACCAGCAGGACCCUGUGACCUCAACUUGUGGCCAGCCCAGGUUGGAAGCAUCAGGUGAUUUCCAAGGAGGCCACAGACUUCCAUCCCACGUGGCCAGGUCGUAGCAGAGAGCAGCCUUGCCGAAACUCACUUACCCCUUGUGCAGGGGGGCCUGGUGACAAGUGAUGCUGAACUGGAGGUUCGGGAUGCUAAUUUUAUUUAUUAUCUGUGUACAGCUUGGGGAGGAGAAAAGGCUCAUAAAAGUGUUCUAGGCUGGUCA
Molecule: non-coding RNA, 1871 nt
Organism: Equus caballus (horse)
Lineage: Eukaryota; Metazoa; Chordata; Mammalia; Perissodactyla; Equidae
Source: RefSeq, a predicted model, not a curated record